Erythranthe guttata (spotted monkey flower) is the source of this 376-nucleotide non-coding RNA. Lineage: Eukaryota; Viridiplantae; Streptophyta; Magnoliopsida; Lamiales; Phrymaceae. The record is from RefSeq and is a predicted model, not a curated record.
CUGGCAUAAUAAGAUUAAGAUGGUUCUAGAACAUUCUUCGACUAUCGCUCACCCUACUGAAUUAUCCAGGUCAUCUCGACUUUGGCGAGCGGUGUUAUGGCUGUACCCUGGUGUUUAUGAGAUGAAGUUUGUUAUUGAUGGUCAUUGGAGAAUCGAUCCUCAACGGGAGUCGGUUACUCGGAGCGGUGUACAUAACAACAUUCUUCGAGUGGAUAGGUAGAUAGAUAGGUGAUUGUGUUUCUCUUUCGACUCUUGUCUGAAUCUUGUGUACAGUCGAUUAAUGUUUGUAUCGAUGUCGAAAUAUGAUGUUUUUGCCGGUUCUACCCUUUUGGAGCAAUUUUAGUUUGUUUGGUUAUGGAAGAUCAAUGAUGCUUUA